CGGAUGAGUGGAACAUCUUUUCGACGGCAUUACUAUGGAUGAAUGAGAAAAGGGGAUGGCAAUAAUACCAAGGCAUGAAGAUUUGGAGGAUACUGCAUUGAAUGACCUAGACUAGAGAAAAGCCUCAACGGAAAAAAAAACACAGUUAAGAACACAAACGGGGCUGUGCGUUGCUUCGGGGGCUGGCUAGCAGAGAAUAAAUUUGUUGACGUCAAAACUGUCACUAAGGAAGAGUUUAACAUCCUGCUCCGACAGUUUUAUGGAAAUGUACGAAUUGGGAAGGGGGAGCAGUAUAGCAUGUCUCUACCUGGCACUCCUUAGUGGGCUCAACCGGUUUCUAAAUGACCCACCCAUCGGUCGCAACUGGUACCUCGAAUCAUGUAUUUCAGGGCAACAUCAAACAGCUGAGAACGCAAGGAAAAUAUAUCACUAAGCCGAUAAGGACAUGGCCCAGCUCAAACUCCCAGGCUCUGAAUCCCGGUACACCAAGCGGUCUGGUCCAGAAAGUGUGGUUCGACCUCCAGUUACAUCUGGGUCGAAGAGGAAAAGAGGAUACGCCACUCUCGCAUAUAACGAGGCGACAAAGAAUCUUCUGGACCCAAGGGAGACACCGGUGCCAAUAUAUCCAACAAACACCGUUUUCUCGGGAAUUAUCACAUAAGUCAGCUGUGGUGGAUAACAAAGUGAAUGUAUGGUUUCAUUUAUUAAAACCAGCUCAAAUGAA
Molecule: long non-coding RNA, 724 nt
Organism: Salmo salar (Atlantic salmon)
Lineage: Eukaryota; Metazoa; Chordata; Actinopteri; Salmoniformes; Salmonidae
Source: RefSeq, a predicted model, not a curated record